Long non-coding RNA from Pangasianodon hypophthalmus (striped catfish), 657 nucleotides. RefSeq lists it as uncharacterized. The transcript is spliced from 3 exons. The record is from RefSeq and is a predicted model, not a curated record. Lineage: Eukaryota; Metazoa; Chordata; Actinopteri; Siluriformes; Pangasiidae.
CAGACACUAACUAAACUAACUACAUAAUUAUGAAGUUAAUGAAAUUAUUUUGGGCUAAUGCUGUGGAAUCUGAAAGGUAGUGCAUGCUUCUCUUGCUGGGUCUAAAUUGAUCACGUGAUGCAGAAGUAGCCAAUCAGCGGUUUAAUUAGCUCAGUUGGCUUUAGUGAAGUUCUCGGUUUGUAGCAGUGCAGCAGCCAAAAGCAAUCAGGAUGAAUGUAGGAUUUAAAAGUCACUGUUUACUGACAGGAAUCCAGUGGAAUGGUCGUCAAAUGGAUCAUCUCUGGGAUAAAUUUAGACCUGGAGAUGGAGAACCGAAAGAGCCUGCUCUGCUGCUGCUCUGCGUUGUCAUGGUGAUUCUUGACCUUUAGUGGCAGCGUGUCUUUUUUCCUCUCGGCCACAUAAUCGACUUAUUUAUAUCAGUCGUGUUAUUGAUGAGCAGAGAAGAGACGCCGCUUUUAAGCGAGAGUGAGAGCGAACAGAGAACAGGACUUUUAUCCGGCUCUGAAAAGGACAAAGUGCUCGUCUUUAUUCAGCUCGAGGAGGAGUGAUGUGAUGUGAUGUGAUGUGUAGUGGUACUGGAAAAGAAAAAGAAAAAGUCCAGGGUAAUUUAUAUUCAUGUAAAUAAAGAACAGUGAUGAGCAGCGACUGCUAACUACA